This 757-nucleotide ribosomal RNA is filed under the name uncultured bacterium. RNAcentral describes it as "bacterial SSU rRNA". It matches the Rfam family "Bacterial small subunit ribosomal RNA", at positions 731 to 1500 of the family's 1533-position model. The record is from RNAcentral.
GGACUGUACCUGACGCUAAGGCACGAAAGCGUGGGGAGCAAACCGGAUUAGAUACCCGGGUAGUCCACGCCCUAAACGAUGGAUACUAGAUGUGGGGGGUAUCGACCCCCCCGUGUCGAAGCUAACGCGAUAAGUAUCCCGCCUGGGGAGUACGGCCGCAAGGCUAAAACUCAAAGGAAUUGACGGGUCCCCGCACAAGCAGCGGAGCGUGUGGUUUAAUUCGAUGAUAAGCGAAGAACCUUACCAGGGCUUGACAUGUUUCCGACCGCCUGCGAAAGCAGGUUUUCACUUCGGUGACGGUUACACAGAUGUUGCAUGGCUGUCGUCAGCUCGUGCCGUGAGGUGUUGGGUUAAGUCCCGCAACGAGCGCAACCCUUGUCGUUAGUUACUAUGUCUAGCGAGACUGCUCCUAAAAGGGGAGAGGAAGGUGGGGAUGACGUCAAGUCAGCACGGCUCUUACGCUCUGGGCUACACACACGCUACAAUGGCCGAAACAGAGGGUCGCGAAGGCGCGAGCCGGAGCUAAUCCCAUAAAUUCGGCCUCAGUUGGAAUUGCAGGCUGCAACUCGCCUGCAUGAACGUGGAGUUGCUAGUAAACGCAGGUCAGCGCACUGCGUUGAAUACGUUCCCGGGGAUUGUACACACCGCCCGUCACGUCAUGGAAGUCGGUAACACUUGAAGUCGCUGGGCCAACCCGCAAGGGGGGCAGGCGCCGAGGGUGGGACUGGUGACUGGGACGAAGUCGUAACAAGGUAAC